RNAcentral lists this long non-coding RNA (1258 nucleotides) under Danio rerio (zebrafish). RNAcentral describes it as "si:cabz01112025.1 (ENSDARG00000117751.1)". Lineage: Eukaryota; Metazoa; Chordata; Actinopteri; Cypriniformes; Danionidae. The record is from RNAcentral.
AUGCUGGACAACACAAAGGUGUAUGUGGAGCUCGGUGUGGCGAAGGUGCAGAACGCAACCGAACCCCAGAAAGCACACAGGGUUUCGAGGGAUGAGAAUGGCUUCAUCAGCACCAGUGUUUCCAGUCCAGAUGAGGAGGACCAGGCCGGAUCUCCAUCGGAGUCUGACCACAGCGUCAGGAGGCUCAGUCUGACGGGUAUAUCGGAGUCGUCUGGGACGUCCCGCAGUGCUCUGGUGUCUCCAGUGGAUGAUCGUCAGUCCUUGUCGUCGCGCCGCAGCACCGGUCAGGCCUUGUGCUCCUGCAUUCGGGCCGGAUCAGUGGCGACUCUGCGCUGUCUGGAGGAAACACCGCUCAUGUUGUCUGGACUGCUGUUAACUCUUCUCUUCUGCGUCACCAUGAUUAUUAUCAUCCCCGCCACCGGCAGGAGUCUGGUGGUCCACGUUGCAGCGUUUGCGGUGGUGUGUGUGUCGGUGUGUGUGUGCAUGUCUCUGCUGCUGUGUUUGCCGUGUCUGCCUGUUUUCCGGCGUGGAGAAACGCAGCUGGCGCUGGUCAUCUGGUUCCUCCUCUUCAUCAUCGCCUUCGUCUUCGUCUUCACCGGAGGCACCGUCACCGCCUGGGAGCAGGUCAGAUGCAUUCGAUUCUUCAUUUGUCUCUAUUAAACUCAACGCAAGCAAACAAAAUAAGAACACAACUAAAAUCAAGACAACAGGCUAGCAUAAAACCACAGCAAUCAGAUCUCUUCAGCUCACAUCAGCUGCGUUUAAUUAGUGAUUUGCUUUUCUCAAACUCAAAGCCCUAUUCAAGAGAUGUAUGAGGUAGCUGUUGUGAAGAAAGCUAAGUUAAUUGUUUUCCUCUGUGCCGACUGCUAACAAAUUACAGAACAGGGAUGUUUACUUAAAGGUGCAGUAGGUGAUCUAGAAUAAUGCUAACGUUAGCUUAAUAGCAUUGAAAAUUCAAGUCCCUUCCUGCCAUGAACGUGCACCGAAUUGAUGACCACAGACAGCCUUAUAACACUAGGGGCUCUAGUUUUUAACAAUCUAGGUGCAAAGUCUAAAGCUCAUGGCGCAAAAGCAUUAAGGGCGUGUCUGAAUCCACUUUUAUUGUAAGGAUGGAGAAAUCCGCUCUGCGCCUGGUGCAUGGUCUAACAGGGCUGUGCUUUUUCUCUUAUGAGUUCUGGGUGUGUUUUGAGCAUAACCUGCAUUAAACCAAUCAGAGUCUCGUCUCUCAUUCCUUUUAAGAGUCAGUUGUGUCGCUCCA